GAAACGGGAACCCGGCACCGCGACAGCGGGUCAGACCAGGAGUGCCCCACCGCAAGGUGAGGCGGCA
Non-coding RNA from Frankia sp. QA3, 67 nucleotides. The record is from Rfam. Lineage: Bacteria; Bacillati; Actinomycetota; Actinomycetes; Frankiales; Frankiaceae.